Long non-coding RNA from Suricata suricatta (meerkat), 432 nucleotides. RefSeq lists it as uncharacterized. The transcript has 2 exons. NCBI's taxonomy places the organism in Eukaryota, Metazoa, Chordata, Mammalia, Carnivora, Herpestidae. The record is from RefSeq and is a predicted model, not a curated record.
UCCAUUUUUCUCAGUGGCUCGGCUCUGCUCCCACGAGCCCUUUCCCCACCACUUGGGGAAGGAGAGUCCGAUCUGGCUGCGGUGCAUGGCCCCUCUUUCCCCCAAAGCUCACGGCCGGAGCUGAGUGGUGAGGGUGGCGAGAAGCAGGGCUCUGAGACCUCUUCACUCGGCCCUCCAUCAGUGUUGGCGCACGACUUCCACCACCUCCUGCGCCUCCCCACCGAUGAAACAAGGGCCACGCUGCCCAGCUGGGACAAGAGUCUGUCCACACAGAGGAUGUGACCUCAUGGAGGAUGCUGGGACAAGGAAACCUGUCACCACACAGGGCUUUGGCUCGCCUCCCACCUCCCACCUUCCCCCCUUCUCUAGCCUUACCACAUGUGGUGUCCCCAGCAAGCCGCCCUCUCCUCACACCUCUGUGCCCCUGCACGU